CGUUUAGGGGUAAACCUGAGAAACCCGAAAGGUCGAAGGAAGAAAUUCAAUCGUGUCCGAUAAGGUUAUUGUGCGGUGCUGGUGUCGCUGAAUGGAUUCGUUCAUUUGUCGCCCUACUGUAUGAUAUAUGUACCUUGUUGAACGCGUGCACUUUUCUUCUGGUAGGACGUCGCGAUCCGUUGAGUGUUGAUUUACGGUUUGAAUGGUAGCCUGUCAAUGGAGAGUUCUUUUGGGUUCUUUUUGAUAGACCUUUGAUACCCGAUCAACUGGCUCGACGGUAUAUAUAACGGUUCUAGGCCGCUAAUUUAAAAGCGUUCGGCUUGUGGCAAGCAUGUCAAAUGUUUCGGUACAUCGGACCUAGUGCCGUGUCUGAUCCUUGACUACUGUUGGCCACUUUGUCUCGAACAGACCUAUGAACCGAUCUGCGACGAUAUAGCUUUGGGUAAUUUCAGGACCCGUCUUGAAACACGGACCAAGGAGUCUAGCAUGUACGCAAGUCAUUGGGAAUCACAAAACCUAAAGGCGUAAUGAAAGUAAACGUUUUCCUUUACGGUUAACGAUGGGAAGACGGGCGGUUUAAACUUUAUAGUUUACGUUCUGCAUUCCCGGGGCGUCUCAUUCUCAUUACGAGAGGAGGCGCACCAUGAGCGUACACGCUGGGACCCGAAAGAUGGUGAACUAU
Molecule: ribosomal RNA, 682 nt
Filed under: Cryphalus lipingensis
Lineage: Eukaryota; Metazoa; Arthropoda; Insecta; Coleoptera; Curculionidae
Description: partial large subunit ribosomal RNA
Rfam family: Eukaryotic large subunit ribosomal RNA
Source: RNAcentral